UCGAUCUUCAAAGUUAUGUUCCUGGUACUUCUUCAUAGUUGCAGUCUGCACUUGGCACCAAGAAAAGACCUUUUCAUUUGUUUGGUGACUAAUAGCAUGUGUGUCAUGAGCUGGAGUUUACCUUUGUGUUUGAAAACUUGUAUACAUAUAUUACAGUUUUGCCUUUCACCAUUGUUCAUUGAAAUAUGCUAUAUUCUUUUCCAUUGUAGGUGAAUUGAUCCUUCCAAGCCCAAGAGGAUGCAGGUACUCCGCUGGCAGAUCCUUCCCAUGCUGAAGGCCAUGUUCAUGCUACUCAUCUGGAUGAGCAUGGUUCUACCCCAAGACAGGAUAUAUACCAUUUGUUGCACUACAGUUGGUAUAUAGCAAGAUGGAUAAGAAAUACCCAAGAGCUUCUUCCUUUUCAAGAUUAGAAGAUGGAUGAUAGUGAUACGGUAAGUUGUUGUUAUGAUCCCCAAUUCCUCUAUGCACAAACUUAACAAUGGUUCUGAUCAUGUUACUUCUAUGGUUAGCAAAGUAAACUGCAGCUGAAUUAUACAAGUAGAGCAAUGUAGUAUAGUGCAUGUAAGAUUGUGGUGUCAUCAAAACAGGGAUGCAUUAAACUAGUUCAUGUGUUAAUAAUUUAUGAUAUGAAACAAUCUAUUUAAUCAGUGCCUGUGUAUUUCAAUUAGUGGUUGCUGCUUGUUUAUGUGCUGCUCUGUUUCUUUCUGUGUAAAUGUGGUGCUAGUUCUGUCCUUGUAGUGUAGUGCCAGUGCAGUGCACAACUGCAUAUAUAUGUCUUUUACACAUAUUUGCUCUGACUGUGCUAUAGGUCUUGUUGAUGAUUUGCACAUAAACCUAACUGUUUGUCGCACUAUAGAUGCUAUAUAGCAAGCUGGAAUGGUUUCGAAUGUGCAUGGUAUUGACAUUUUAUUCAUGUAUUAAAAUAUUUGACAACCUCAACAAGUAGAGGAGCAAGUUCAAGUACGAAAGGUGCAUGGUCUUGGCUUUCAGUUUGGAUUGGAUUAUAAACAUUUAUUUUAUUUCCUUUUCUUCCUUGUACGUUAUGUUCCUGUUAGCUCUUCAUAAGUGCAGCCUACACUUAGCUUUAAUAAAAGACUUCUUCACUUGCUUGGUGGAUAACAACAUGUGUGUGUCGUGAACUGAAGUUUCCUUUUGGUUUGUAAACUUGUUCAUGCUGCCCAAGUGUUUGUGUAUUUCAGUUAGUGGUUGCUGCCUUCUUAAGUGGCUGUGUACUGCAACCAUGUAGUCAGUAUAACUUAGUUCAUGAUUUAAGUUGUCAUACAAAAUUAAAUAUGUUCUCUGUACAUGUUAGCUUAUAAUUUUAGGAAAUGAUUCACUAUGACUGGUGAGAUCCAUUUAUAGAUCAUUUAGAGUUUCUAAUUUCUAUUCCAGUCAGUUUUCAUUAAUGUGUUCUUGCAACAAAAAAACAUUGUCUUAAACUCUUAAUAUUAUAUCUAAGGACUGCAUUUAUGAGUAUGUCUCCAGUUAUUCUAAUUUUCUUCAUGAAUACAGCUUCUGAGAAGAAAUCGUUCGAGGUACUGGGCGUAGUGGUGAUGGAGACAUAUAGACUUGUAAGACCCUUGGGUGGGCGAACGCCCUUGAGCACCUCCACUUGAACUUCUGGUGAGCAAGUCUGUAAGGAACCACCCCAGGACAGUUCUAGUCAUAUUAGUCUUUUCUUAUCAGCUAGCUUUGCAUCGUCUGCUUCCUUCUUGUUUUUGACAUAUUCAAGAUGAUGAAUUUUCAGAUUACCUUGCAGCUUGUUUAGGCUCCCCAACUGUUUUAGCUCAUGCCCAUGUUUUGUCCUUACUUGAGAUACAUCAAGUUCUUGUAGUAAUGUUAAACUACCGAUGUUCGGAACUUGCAUUGCAAAGCUAUAAAUAUGACGCUUACUGCUAGUUUUCUACAUGUAGUGCUAGUUCUGUACAUGCAGUUUAGUGCUUGUCAUACUUAGAUUUUUCCUAUGAAGUGAUGAUUUUUUUUGCUACCACGUAAAGUUGUGAAGGUGGUUGGUCAUGAAAAAUUUUCAUUUGCCAUAAAAACUAUGGGUAUAGGGCAUUGGAUGGCAAUCAUUUAUUUUUUCUUGCCUUUUUUUAAUUAUGUUCAUGUUACAUUUAAUUGCAUCCUAUACUUGGUAAUAAGAAAAGUCAUGAGCUGUAGUUUACCUUUUGGUUUGAAAGCUUGUACAUAUCACAGUUUUGCCUUUCACCGUUGUUCAUUAAAAUCUCCUAUAUUUUUCUAUUGUAUAGGUGAAUGGAACAUUCCAAGCCCAAGGGAAUGCACUCCAUUAACAGAAUCUUCCCAUGAUGGAAGACCAUCCUCAUGCUACUCAUGUGCAUGAGCAUAGUUCUACUCCAACAUUUAGAAAUUCCAGUAGUAUAAUUAGUUGUUAAUAUUGUGAAAUAGGGUGUAGGUAGGCUUUCUUUGUCAAUUGCUUCUCUUGGCAAUUUAGGAAUCAACCAGUAUGCGUGUUUCAUAUUUGGUGACACCUCCUGUUAAGUUAAGGCUCCAUGAAUCAUGACUUGGAUAUGAAUAUGUAGAUCUUGUGAAUAACGAGAUUUAAAUAAAUUGGAUGGGUACAUUGUGACCUAGGAAUUGGAUGUGAUUUUAAACAGGGUUAUAUGAUCUUUGUGUAUGCAUGAAUGUGAAAUGAUUU
Molecule: long non-coding RNA, 2656 nt
Filed under: Triticum aestivum (bread wheat)
Lineage: Eukaryota; Viridiplantae; Streptophyta; Magnoliopsida; Poales; Poaceae
Description: long non-coding RNA (TAES_LNC018738)
Source: RNAcentral